Daktulosphaira vitifoliae (grape phylloxera) is the source of this 609-nucleotide long non-coding RNA. RefSeq lists it as uncharacterized. The transcript has 3 exons. The record is from RefSeq and is a predicted model, not a curated record. NCBI's taxonomy places the organism in Eukaryota, Metazoa, Arthropoda, Insecta, Hemiptera, Phylloxeridae.
GCUGGACACCUAGAGAUGUUAUAAUCCAACAGGGAGCUGACGGCGACACACACACACACUAUAAUAUACGGGGUCGCGAAGUUAAGUUAAUUAUCAGGCAAAAGUAGUGAUCGCGAAGAUGGUAAAAUGUCAACUAGGUGAAUGCAACGUAUACACUAUAGAGGUUAAUAAUUUGACCUAGUUAUCGAACACCUAAAUGACCUAUGUAUUAACAUAUGAAGGUGAAAGUGUGGUAAGGAGUAAAACCAGAAUAAAUAAAAGUCCAUGCAUAGUUAAGAUACGUCUUAAUCUCGUUGUGUAGUUGUCCUGUGGCACAUAAGCGGACGGAAAUGCCUCUACCUAUAAGGAUGGUGGUGAUACACAUUAAUCCGAAUGUCACUGGAAUUUUAUCCCUAUUCAUCCCUAUGGGAGGGAUUGUAACGAACCAUAUAUUGUUUUGUGUAAGAAAAUUUGCUAAUUCCGAAAUUGCAUUUGAGUAAUCUUGUAGAUUGAACGCACAAAUGUUUGGAUAUCCUAGUGGACCUUGUUGGCUUACCGAAUUGUUUACUAAAUAAUGUGGCUACUCCUCGGGACAUUCUCCUGGGAUUGUCGAAGUCGCUGCUGGCGCAG